GAUCAUGGCUCAGGAUGAACGCUGGCGGCGUGCUUAACACAUGCAAGUCGAACGAAGCAAUUUCUGCUUGCAAGAAAUUGACUAGUGGCGGACGGGUGAGUAACGCGUGGGUAACCUGCCUCAUACAGGGGGAUAACAGUUGGAAACGACUGCUAAGACCGCAUAACCCGCUAGUGUCGCAUGACACGGACGGAAAAUAUUUAUAGGUAUGAGAUGGGCCCGCGUCUGAUUAGCUAGUUGGUAAGGUAACGGCUUACCAAGGCGACGAUCAGUAGCCGACUUGAGAGAGUGAUCGGCCACAUUGGGACUGAGACACGGCCCAAACUCCUACGGGAGGCAGCAGUGGGGAAUAUUGGACAAUGGGGGAAACCCUGAUCCAGCGAACCGCCGCGUGAGUGAAGAAGUAUUUCGGUAUGUAAAGCUCUAUCAGCAGGGAAGAUAAUGACAGUACCUGACUAAGAAGCCCCGGCUAACUACGUGCCAGCAGCGGC
RNAcentral lists this ribosomal RNA (491 nucleotides) under uncultured bacterium. RNAcentral describes it as "bacterial SSU rRNA". It matches the Rfam family "Bacterial small subunit ribosomal RNA", at positions 15 to 518 of the family's 1533-position model. The record is from RNAcentral.